Molecule: ribosomal RNA, 161 nt
Filed under: uncultured bacterium
Lineage: Bacteria
Description: partial 16S rRNA
Rfam family: Bacterial small subunit ribosomal RNA
Source: RNAcentral
GGAAUCUUCCACAAUGGACGCAAGUCUGAUGGAGCAACGCCGCGUGAGUGAAGAAGGGUUUCGGCUCGUAAAGCUCUGUUGUUAAAGAAGAACGUGGGUAAGAGUAACUGUUUACCCAGUGACGGUAUUUAACCAGAAAGCCACGGCUAACUACGUGCCAC